This is a non-coding RNA of Podarcis lilfordi (Lilford's wall lizard), 73 nucleotides long. Lineage: Eukaryota; Metazoa; Chordata; Lepidosauria; Squamata; Lacertidae. The record is from the annotation of a GenBank genome assembly.
ACACUGUAUGAGCUCAGUCGGUAGAGAGUAAGACUUAAUCUCAAGGUCAUGGGUUUGAUCCCCACGUUGGGUA